This 475-nucleotide ribosomal RNA is filed under the name Eucypris virens. Its description in RNAcentral is "partial 16S ribosomal RNA". It matches the Rfam family "Bacterial large subunit ribosomal RNA", at positions 1830 to 2597 of the family's 2925-position model. The record is from RNAcentral. Lineage: Eukaryota; Metazoa; Arthropoda; Ostracoda; Podocopida; Cyprididae.
UUUCUUUAGAUAUAUUUUAAAGGUAAUACCUGCUCAAUGAAUAUUAAAUUGCCGCAGUAUUAUGACUGUGCUAAGGUAGCAUAAUAAUUUGUCUUUUAAAUGGGGACUGGAAUGAAAGGUUUUAUGGGGGUAUGUUAAUGAUUUAAUGAGUUAUUGAAGUUAAGGUUUAAGUUAAAAUUCUUAAAAUUAUUUGAGGGACGAGAAGACCCUGUGGAUCUUUAUUUUACGUAUAAUAAAUUAUUAUAAAUGUUUUAUUAUUUUAAAAAUUUGAUUGGGACGAUUAUUAUUUUAACAUGAUUUUGAGGGUUUAUGUUGAUCCUAUAAAAGGAAUUAAGAUUAAGUUACCCCAGGGAUAACAGCGUUAUAUUAUUGGAUAGUUCAUAUUGAUAAUAAUGUUUGCGACCUCGAUGUUGAAUUAAAAUUUCUUUUUAAAGUAGAAGUUAAAUUAGUAAGUCUGUUCGACUUUUAAAAUUUU